Molecule: ribosomal RNA, 488 nt
Filed under: uncultured bacterium
Lineage: Bacteria
Description: bacterial SSU rRNA
Rfam family: Bacterial small subunit ribosomal RNA
Source: RNAcentral
AUUGAACGCUGGCGGCAUGCCUAACACAUGCAAGUCGAACGGCAGCGCGGGGAGCUUGCUCCCUGGCGGCGAGUGGCGGACGGGUGAGUAACGCGUAGGAAUCUACCUAGUAGUGGGGGACAACUCGGGGAAACUCGAGCUAAUACCGCAUAAUCUCUACGGAGCAAAGCGGGGGAUCUUCGGACCUCGCGCUAUUAGAUGAGCCUGCGUCGGAUUAGCUUGUUGGUGGGGUAAAGGCCUACCAAGGCAACGAUCCGUAGCUGGUCUGAGAGGAUGAUCAGCCACACUGGGACUGAGACACGGCCCAGACUCCUACGGGAGGCAGCAGUGGGGAAUAUUGGACAAUGGGCGAAAGCCUGAUCCAGCAAUGCCGCGUGUGUGAAGAAGGCCUUCGGGUUGUAAAGCACUUUCAGCGGGGAAGAAAUGCCUAAAAUUAAUACUUUUGGGAGUUGACGUUACCCGCAGAAGAAGCACUGGCUAACUCUGUG